GACGAACGCUGGCGGCGUGCUUAACACAUGCAAGUCGAACGGUAAGGCCCUUCGGGGUACACGAGUGGCGAACGGGUGAGUAACACGUGGGUGAUCUGCCCUGCACUUCGGGAUAAGCCUGGGAAACUGGGUCUAAUACCGGAUAGGACCCUGGGAUGCAUGUCCUGGGGUGGAAAGCUUUUGCGGUGUGGGAUGGGCCCGCGGCCUAUCAGCUUGUUGGUGGGGUGAUGGCCUACCAAGGCGCCGACGGGUAGCCGGCCUGAGAGGGUGACCGGCCGCACUGGGACUGAGAUACGGCCCAGACUCCUACGGGAGGCAGCAGUGGGGAAUAUUGCACAAUGGGCGCAAGCCUGAUGCAGCGACGCCGCGUGAGGGAUGACGGCCUUCGGGUUGUAAACCUCUUUCAGCACCGACGAAGCGCAAGUGACGGUAGGUGCAGAAGAAGGACCGGCCAACUACGUGCCAGCCGCCGCCGCAG
Molecule: ribosomal RNA, 478 nt
Filed under: uncultured bacterium
Lineage: Bacteria
Description: partial 16S ribosomal RNA
Rfam family: Bacterial small subunit ribosomal RNA
Source: RNAcentral